RNAcentral lists this non-coding RNA (30 nucleotides) under Mus musculus (house mouse). Lineage: Eukaryota; Metazoa; Chordata; Mammalia; Rodentia; Muridae. RNAcentral also lists the same sequence under 1 other name. The record is from RNAcentral.
UGAAUUGAGUCCUUUCUAUGGGAGCCCAGA